This is a long non-coding RNA of Marmota flaviventris (yellow-bellied marmot), 650 nucleotides long. RefSeq lists it as uncharacterized. Lineage: Eukaryota; Metazoa; Chordata; Mammalia; Rodentia; Sciuridae. The record is from RefSeq and is a predicted model, not a curated record.
UUAACUUCCAUUUCUGCAGGUGAGGAAGAUGAGGCUCCUAGAAGCUAAGUAACUUGCCUGUGUUCACCCAUAAUUAUGUCUCAGAACCAGGACUUAAAGCCAGAUCUGCCAGACUCCAAGAUCAAGCUCUUACUCCUCCAGGAAGCUCCGGGUUCAUUUCCCAGCACCCCACCACCUUCAGAGUGAGGAUCUGCUAACACAGAUACUCCUCAUUGGCAGUGGGAAGUCUCCUCUUGCCUGAUCCCUUGGCAGGGAGGAAGAGGAAGGAAGCCACCCUCUGCAAAAGCUGCCGACCUAUGUACCCAGAGGUACAGGGAAGAGGGUGUAAGAAGGAACCCCAGUAGGCAGCUCACCCCUGGGACCAGAUGCAGGGCCUCUGACAACGGAUGCAGGAACACUGUAAAAGGAAACCCACAGCCACCAUGGGGCCCCAGACUCUGCAUCCCACUCUAUCAAUCUGUCAGACUGUCACGCUCUCUUCCCGCGUCCCUUCCUACUGCAAGCAAUCCUUGACCAGACCCACAGUUCCCCCUGGGCUGAAGGCAAGGCAAGAGGCAGCACCAGCGGCCCAGAACCUGUGAUGCUUUCAGGAAUAUCUAUAGCAAGAAGCAAGCAGUGUGUGUCACGAAAUAAAAGCUGCCCUGAACCCA